UGGGCUGGAACAGAUAGAAAGGGAGAA
This 27-nucleotide non-coding RNA is filed under the name Mus musculus (house mouse). The record is from RNAcentral. Lineage: Eukaryota; Metazoa; Chordata; Mammalia; Rodentia; Muridae.